Molecule: non-coding RNA, 2401 nt
Organism: Oncorhynchus mykiss (rainbow trout)
Lineage: Eukaryota; Metazoa; Chordata; Actinopteri; Salmoniformes; Salmonidae
Source: RefSeq, a predicted model, not a curated record
UCGGGGAUUCAAUCUUGCAACAUUUCGGUUACUAGUCCAACUCUCUAACUGCUAGGCUACCUGCCACCCAGUGCAAUUUGAAUGCAUCUCAUUGUGUAGUGGUUAUCCAUUGGGGCUGUUACAGCACUGCGUAUCAGUGUGGAAUUUUGUUUUGGUUGUUGUUGUUGUUGUAAGAGGAUCCCACUGGGUGCCAUGUCUCUGUGCUGUGUCUGGGUGAUUUGUCUCUGUUGCAGGUCCAGUGCUCAAGCUGCAGCAGCGAACCCCUCGCCGGCGGGGCCAGCAAACUGCUGAACAGCCCUGAAGACAGUCUCUAUUACAACCAGCUAAAUAGAAAUCUGGAUUACCAAGGGAGCAAGAGGAAGCUGAGAACUUGGCUAAAUCCAAGUGCUGGACAGAGUACUACAAAUUACUGUCACCGGUGGAGUCAAUCCCCGAGGAAGGCUACUCCACUGGGGCCCCUCCCACCCUGUCAAGAGGGCCACUCUUCAGUCAGAACUGAGCUACAACCCCUGUCAACUAGUAAGAGUCAAAGAGCACUAGCCAGACACACACUGAAAGAACAUUUCCUCCAUAUGCACCAUGUAUUACAAGUACCAGUGAUGUACAACAAGAGACCAAAGCAAAUUAUUUUUAAUUAUUAUUAUUAUUUAUUUAUUUUAAUUAUUUUUAAGAAUGACUAAUGAUGCUCCCCAUGUACAGGUAUGUGUGUAUCUGGCUGAUCAUGAACUUUUCUCAUGAAUAUAGUUCCGCUGCCAUGUUGUACAUCAGCAGUUCCUUGUACAUUGACACCUCCCCCACACACCUCUCAAUUUAGUCAGAUAGGCUCCAGUAAUGGAGGGAUUAGUUAUGGUGUCGUUCAUUCCUCUUCUGGCUUGUUUUGAACAAAUCUGGUUCACACAAGAGACUCAUGUUAAAAGAAAUAUCAUGACAAAUCAUGACAAAAUGGUACAGAUGUUGCAUCCAUACAUUAAAAGUCAACGACAAAUGCACGUUUGUGGGGAGAAAAUGACAGCUGUUUAGCGGAAGAGGAAAAGACCAAUGAAAUCAUAUAUUUUUCUUCUAUGAAGUUUCAUUGUCAGGGAAUAUUGUACAAUAGACCCUGACUAAGACUCCCCUAACAGCAAGCUUGAGCCAAAGUAGAUACUGUAGGAAAACAGCUCUAUUUAGAGAGGAGGGGUGGAAAUCAGUCAUGGAACCAGACUCUGAGAACUAGACAUUUGCCCAUCAUCCUCAGUCUGUGCAGACCAGGGCUAGCAUUCGAAAGGAGUAAUAGUGUCAUGAUCGGUGUAUCAAUUCUCUGUUCACUGUGGUACACUAAAUUAAGUGUAUCAAUUCUCUGUUCACUGUGGUACACUAAAUUAAGUGUAGCAAUUCUCUGUUCACUGUGGUACACUAAAUUAAGUGUAGCAAUUCUCUGUUCACUGUGGUACACUAAAUUAAGUGUAGCAAUUCUGUUGUCAAGUCCUCUCCCUGAAAAGCUGUAUUGAGAACAUAGAGGUAUACUGCAAUGUGAAUAGUCAAUGUUGUUAUUUAACCCUUUGCGGUUAAUUAUUCAACCCCUUUCAGUGAAUUAUUCAAUAAUGAUUGUAAUAUGUUUUUUUAUUUUUAUCAUUAUACCCAGAGUGAUCUAUAGAUGCUGUGUACUAGAAUCUCCAAAAAUUGUCUUUCACUGAAACAGAGCUAGUCGUAACUCUGAAUUUCCCCCAAAGUAUAAGAAUUUCCUUUUAAGAUGUGUCGGAAAUGCGGGGCUGGCAAGUUGAUUUGUAGUGGGGGGUAAUUUGCAUAUCAUUUACUGCAUCUCCUUUUGUUGACACCCCAGGGCCCAAGCCAAGAUUUUGAUCUUAAUAGGAAGAGUAGGGGGGUAUGACUAGUUAAAUAAAGGUUAAAUAAAUAAAAUAAAUAAAAAUGACUGAAGAUCCCUUCCUCCUUAUUCUUACUCAGUGAGAAACACAUUAGAGCUCUGCCGAGAUAGCAGGACCAGCCACAGUCAGUCCAGGUUCUACUCUACUCUAAUUCCUUUGGGUUUUCAGAAGCCCUAGUUGGCCAUCAGAGAGCAAGACUACUUACAAUACGCGUCAGGACUAGGUCGAGUUGCAUUCAGGUUUUGUGGGACUUUAAAGCUAACAUGUUGUCUGGCUUUUUCACAUUGUGAGACAUACUGUACUAAUAUGUACUAAUAAUGUUAUUCAUACCUGCGUACAUUUUAUUUGCCAUAUCUUCAAUCUAAGCCUACUAGAAAGUCUGUGCCCUCAUGCCUGGAGGGAAGCUAGAAGUAAUUCUGCUACCCAAGAAUAGUAAAGCCCCCUUUACUAGUUCAAUUAGCCGAGCAAUCAGCCUGAUACCAACCCUUCGUAAACUUUUGGAAAAAAUUGUGUUUGACUAGAUACAAUGCUAUUUUACU